AGCACAACUGCUGGGUCUUAUGUUUAGAGUAUGUUUACUUUUGUGAGGGAAAAAACCUCCAAACUGUCUUCCAAAGUGGCUGUACCAUUUGGCAUUCCCACCAGCAGA
Molecule: microRNA precursor, 108 nt
Filed under: Marmota monax (woodchuck)
Lineage: Eukaryota; Metazoa; Chordata; Mammalia; Rodentia; Sciuridae
Source: RNAcentral